CACCGAUACUGCAUGAGGGGUUCUCCGGAUCCAGACCGGGGAGGCAACGAGGAAAGUCCGGUGGCGGGAGUCUCUCCCCAGUCCGGCACUGUCCCGCAGCUGUGAUGGCCCCGCCGCCUGCCCCCCAGGCCGGCCCGCCUCAGUCAGAACGCUCGCCCCAUCCACCACCUUUCG
RNAcentral lists this non-coding RNA (174 nucleotides) under Synechococcus sp. Lineage: Bacteria; Bacillati; Cyanobacteriota; Cyanophyceae; Synechococcales; Synechococcaceae. The record is from RNAcentral.